UAAUGGAGCAGGUGAAAGUGCAGAUCGCC
This 29-nucleotide non-coding RNA is filed under the name Homo sapiens (human). Lineage: Eukaryota; Metazoa; Chordata; Mammalia; Primates; Hominidae. The record is from RNAcentral.